This 794-nucleotide ribosomal RNA is filed under the name uncultured bacterium. Its description in RNAcentral is "bacterial SSU rRNA". It matches the Rfam family "Bacterial small subunit ribosomal RNA", at positions 59 to 817 of the family's 1533-position model. The record is from RNAcentral.
CAGUCGAACGAGUUCUCGUUGAUGAUCGGUGCUUGCACCGAGAUUCAACAUGGAACGAGUGGCGGACGGGUGAGUAACACGUGGGUAACCUGCCCUUAAGUGGGGGAUAACAUUUGGAAACAGAUGCUAAUACCGCAUAGAUCCAAGAACCGCAUGGUUCUUGGCUGAAAGAUGGCGUAAGCUAUCGCUUUUGGAUGGACCCGCGGCGUAUUAGCUAGUUGGUGAGGUAAUGGCUCACCAAGGCGAUGAUACGUAGCCGAACUGAGAGGUUGAUCGGCCACAUUGGGACUGAGACACGGCCCAAACUCCUACGGGAGGCAGCAGUAGGGAAUCUUCCACAGUGGACGCAAGUCUGAUGGAGCAACGCCGCGUGAGUGAAGAAGGCUUUCGGGUCGUAAAACUCUGUUGUUGGAGAAGAAUGGUCGGCAGAGUAACUGUUGCCGGCGUGACGGUAUCCAACCAGAAAGCCACGGCUAACUACGUGCCAGCAGCCGCGGUAAUACGUAGGUGGCAAGCGUUAUCCGGAUUUAUUGGGCGUAAAGCGAGCGCAGGCGGUUUUUUAAGUCUGAUGUGAAAGCCCUCGGCUUAACCGAGGAAGCGCAUCGGAAACUGGGAAACUUGAGUGCAGAAGAGGACAGUGGAACUCCAUGUGUAGCGGUGAAAUGCGUAGAUAUAUGGAAGAACACCAGUGGCGAAGGCGGCUGUCUGGUCUGUAACUGACGCUGAGGCUCGAAAGCAUGGGUAGCGAACAGGAUUAGAUACCCUGGUAGUCCAUGCCGUAAACGAUGAAUGCU